RNAcentral lists this transfer RNA (66 nucleotides) under Palaeoagraecia brunnea. RNAcentral's name for it is "tRNA-Arg". The record is from RNAcentral. Lineage: Eukaryota; Metazoa; Arthropoda; Insecta; Orthoptera; Tettigoniidae.
AAAUAAGAAGCAAACUUUGCAAUCAGUUUCGACCUGAUCUUCUGAUGGUUAUACCAUCCUUAUUUA